GACGAACGCUGGCGGCGUGCUUAACACAUGCAAGUCGAACGCUGAAGCUCAGCUUUUGUUGGGUGGAUGAGUGGCGAACGGGUGAGUAACACGUGAGUAACCUGCCCCCUUCUUUGGGAUAACGCCCGGAAACGGGUGCUAAUACUGGAUAUUCACUGGUCUUCGCAUGGGGGUUGGUGGAAAGGGUUUUUCUGGUGGGGGAUGGGCUCGCGGCCUAUCAGCUUGUUGGUGGGGUGAUGGCCUACCAAGGCUUUGACGGGUAGCCGGCCUGAGAGGGUGACCGGUCACAUUGGGACGGAGAUACGGCCCAGACUCCUACGGGAGGCAGCAGUGGGGAAUAUUGCACAAUGGGCGCAAGCCUGAUGCAGCGACGCCGCGUGAGGGAUGGAGGCCUUCGGGUUGUGAACCUCUUUCGCUCAUGGCCAAGCCGCAACAAUGGUUGUGGUGAGGGUAGUGGGUAAAGAAGCGCCGGCUAACUACGUG
This 483-nucleotide ribosomal RNA is filed under the name uncultured bacterium. RNAcentral describes it as "partial 16S ribosomal RNA". It matches the Rfam family "Bacterial small subunit ribosomal RNA", at positions 28 to 507 of the family's 1533-position model. The record is from RNAcentral.